UACGAAGGGGACUAGCGUUGUUCGGAAUCACUGGGCGUAAAGCGCACGUAGGCGGAUUUGUAAGUCAGGGGUGAAAUCCCGGGGCUCAACCUCGGAACUGCCUUUGAUACUGCAAAUCUCGAGUCCGGAAGAGGUGAGUGGAAUUCCUAGUGUAGAGGUGAAAUUCGUAGAUAUUAGGAAGAACACCAGUGGCGAAGGCGGCUCACUGGUCCGGUACUGACGCUGAGGUGCGAAAGCGUGGGGAGCAAACAGG
This 253-nucleotide ribosomal RNA is filed under the name uncultured bacterium. Its description in RNAcentral is "partial 16S ribosomal RNA". It matches the Rfam family "Bacterial small subunit ribosomal RNA", at positions 524 to 776 of the family's 1533-position model. The record is from RNAcentral.